UGUGCUCAUUAUUGAUGGGAAUAGCAGGUGCAUAUGCUGCACAAUGUCGAACUCGGCCCAAAAACAUUCCUUGGUUGGGUUGGCGGCGACAUCCGACUUCAUUUAUAACCAAGAAGAAGAUCAGAUACAACAAGAAGCAAUAAUAAUAACAUCAUUAUCAUGCAAAUAAUUAUACAAGAGACGACGCGGAGGAAGAGCGUAUUUUAUUUGUGAUUUGAUGAUGAUUACUUUUUUGGUCCUGUUGCUGAGAGGAAUGUUAGGUGAAAAGGUAACCAGCGGGGAAGGCUGAUAUAUAUCAUUCUCUAUCAACUACAAUAUUAAAUGGCCAAGCUGUAUAGCUUACGCAGAUUGCAUUUCUAACGACGGCUCAUCACCUUUUUCUAACCCUAAUUGCUCUUUCAGCGCCUUAUUCUUUGCCUCUACUUCUUUCCUUCUCCAUUCUGAAAGGCUACUCGGAUUGACAACCCACACUGCUGCUUCUCCUUUUAUGUCCUCCACUCCAUACGCCAAGCCUUCAUUUACCCCCAUCUCCCUUAUGACUUUUCCCACAGCCCCCCGAUUGUUGAUGGUAACCUAGAUGCUACGGUGAUACCAGGCUGAGGUCGACGAGCUGAGCGAUUGCUUGUAGUUUUGUUGGCUUUAGGAGGGGGAGGUGGAGGUGGCAAAACAGGCGCGGACGUUUGCUUUUCAACAAUAGCAAGCAUCAUUUGGCAAACAUUGGCGAAGCCACGUCGGAAAGGCGAGUGUUGAAUCUGAUGCAGUUCAAUAUGAUCCC
This 775-nucleotide small RNA is filed under the name Cryptococcus neoformans H99. RNAcentral's name for it is "Cryptococcus neoformans var. grubii H99 hypothetical RNA". The record is from RNAcentral. Lineage: Eukaryota; Fungi; Basidiomycota; Tremellomycetes; Tremellales; Cryptococcaceae.